GCGAUCGGUGGAUGCCUUGGCACCAAGAGCCGAUGAAGGACGUUGUGACCUGCGAUAAGCCCUGGGGAGUUGGUGAGCGAGCUGUGAUCCGGGGGUGUCCGAAUGGGGAAACCUGGAAUGUCCGGAGUAGUGUCCGGUGGCCCUGCCCUGAAUGUAUAGGGGUGUGGGUGGUAACGCGGGGAAGUGAAACAUCUUAGUACCCGUAGGAAGAGAAAACAAGUGUGAUUCCGUGAGUAGUGGCUAGCGAAAGCGGA
Molecule: ribosomal RNA, 254 nt
Filed under: uncultured Phaeocystis
Lineage: Eukaryota; Haptophyta; Phaeocystales; Phaeocystaceae
Description: partial Bacterial large subunit ribosomal RNA
Rfam family: Bacterial large subunit ribosomal RNA
Source: RNAcentral